UUACUUUUAAUUUAUUUGCCCUCCACCCCAUUUCCCCUCCUAAGAACAUCACCAAUGGAUUAGUUGGUUCUUUAAAAAAGAAAAAAAAAAAGGGUUGGUUGUUCUUAACUAGUCUUUAUGUUUUUGUCAUUUUCUCUCCUAGUCAUUCCCCUCCUGUGCACUCCAUCCGAAGUGAAGUUGGUUUGAAAUUCCAGACCAACCAAAUCAAAGGACCAAUUGUCCCAAUAAUAAAAUCAACCAAAACUAGUUUUACUAUUUCUUAGAUCAACCUAAAACUAUCCCAUUUUACUGUACAUGCUCUAAGAACUUGACACUCUUCACAACCCCUUUUAUUUCCAUCUCUCAUCCAGUCAUCCUCACUCUGUUCGUCUUCUGAGAAACCAAAUAAGAAAAACAAACCCCUAGAAAUCGAAUGCUAGACCUGCUCAAAGACUUCGACCCUCACACUUGAACCAAAAAAUGAAACACAUGGAGCAAAAAGAAGGUAAUCAUAGGCUCAUAGCAUCAUAUCUGCAAUUCAAUUGCAAAGGACUAUGGUGGUUGAGAAACAAAAAAUCGAGCCUUUUGAAAGAUCAAUCAGCAAUUGGUGAAGAGGAAGUUGACAUUUGAAGAGUGAGAGUGCGUGGCGUAGCAGAUGGUGCGAAGAGAAGAAUAGAUGGAUAACCCGCUUAAUGAUACGGGUCAGGCUACUGUUAAAGGGGUUUCGACACGAUUAACUAUAUGGGUCGGGUUAGUCUCAAGAGUUUUCGACAAUUCGACACGAUUAACUAAGAGUCCGUUUGGUUCAUAUAAUGGUAUGGGUUUGGAAUCAGGAAUGAAACCAAGGUGGUAUGGGUUUGGAACUUGAUACUUAAUACCUUUUGUUUGGUUUCAUUUAAGAAUGAAAAAUCUUCUUUUAUUUGAUACCUAGAAGUAAGGUAUGAGCCAUACCCACCUCCCCAUGGGUUUGUAAACCCCAUACCUUAUGGAUUUGAGGUAUGGGUUUAAAAUUAGAAAUAAGUUAAACAAAUACUAGGUAUGAGUUUUGUUCAUUCCAAACCCAUACCUCUUGGGUAAGUGUCGAGCUUCUUGAAAGUUGGUACGAUAACUACGAUUAAUGUAUGACACAAAUACGAAAUAGACACGAUAAGACCUAUUCGAUA
Beta vulgaris subsp. vulgaris (sugar beet) is the source of this 1142-nucleotide long non-coding RNA. RefSeq lists it as uncharacterized. Lineage: Eukaryota; Viridiplantae; Streptophyta; Magnoliopsida; Caryophyllales; Amaranthaceae. The record is from RefSeq and is a predicted model, not a curated record. The transcript has 2 exons.